GACGAACCGUGCGAACGUUGUUCGGAAUCACUGGGCUUAAAGGGCGCGUAGGCGGGUGGUCAAGUCAGGGGUGAAAUCCCCGGGCUUAACCUGGGAAUGGCACUUGAAACUACGGGACUGGAGUAUGGCAGAGGGAGGUGGAAUUCCACGUGUAGCGGUGAAAUGCGUAGAGAUGUGGAGGAACACCGAUGGCGAAGGCAGCCUCCUGGGCCAAUACUGACGCUCAUGCACGAAAGCGUGGGGAGCAAACAGG
RNAcentral lists this ribosomal RNA (253 nucleotides) under uncultured bacterium. RNAcentral describes it as "partial 16S ribosomal RNA". It matches the Rfam family "Bacterial small subunit ribosomal RNA", at positions 524 to 776 of the family's 1533-position model. The record is from RNAcentral.